This 8406-nucleotide long non-coding RNA is filed under the name Zea mays. RNAcentral's name for it is "long non-coding RNA (ZMAY_LNC000612)". The record is from RNAcentral. Lineage: Eukaryota; Viridiplantae; Streptophyta; Magnoliopsida; Poales; Poaceae.
AGUUAAAGGGUCCUAGAUCAGCAGGCCAACAAUCGGAACGGUCCUUAAUCGACACAGACGGGCGACCUUUCCUGCUCAACGUCUGGUCUCAUCUUAUUAUUUAACACCCAAACCAUGUACCUGACAGAGGUACAAUACUCGAAUAAUGAAUUCAUCAUCGCGAGUGAUGCCUUCAUUAUUGCAAGUUCCUUUUUCAUAAAACCCAUAUCCAGUGUUGCACAACAUUCUUUUUAAAAGAAACAACUUUUAGUUUCUAAGCAGGGCUAAGCCUCAUUAGUUCUCUUUAUAAAACAGGUAUCAAGGAAUAGUAAUCGAAUUCCAAGGAAUGGCAAUGCAUCAAUUGUUUCAUCACUCAACUCCUAUCACCUAAUGCAGCAUAUAAGUGAUAAAAGUUUUAAAACAACAAGGAGGUGGCAAAUGCACCGGGGCUUGCCUGGGAUAACACUAUGUUAGUGUUGUUAAUUGACGACCACUUGGUGAGCAUCUUCCAUCCUGGCACUUGGUUGAUUCAUCCAUUUUAGCUUCGUCCAUCAGCAUCACUUGGAGAUCACUUCCACUCGUCUUCCAUAGCACGUGAUCAAUUAACGUACCUAAAUGAUAUGUAUGAUGCACAUGAGCAUGAGCAUGAGCACGAAGAGCAUAAGAUAGAUAAUCUAUGUUAAAGAGGAUAAAUAUUUAAAACAAGUCAUCACAACACCUAGGAGCACACUAGAUGUCAAGAUAUUACUAAGUAUCACAAGUACAUUUUUUUUACAUUUACAUAGAUCUAACUCAAGCAUCAAUCAACAAAAGGCUAUACAUGAACCUUAACUUUAUGGAUUAGAGUACACUAUCAAAGGAUUAACAUCAUUCUUAGCACUAAUGAAUAACCCACUAUUAACUAGCAUAAAAUCCUAUGGAGCAAAACUUAUCUCAACCUAUAGAUCUAAAAUACUUCUAUGCAUAACAAGCACUUCAAUUCUAAACUUUACUCCUCAAUCAUCUGGCAUUAACAUCAUGCUUAUAACUAUAAGGCGACCAAAUUAAUUCAUAAAUCUAGAUAUGUAUGUCUACUAAACCUUCUUCGCAUUAUUGAGUUCAUUAUAACCACACAAGGUCUAAUUAGCUACUAGUUCCAAUAAAUUCAUCAAAGUAUUAAUUCCCAAACUAAUAGGUUUAAAGCACACAUUAAGAAAGAAAAACUCAACCAUGUGCAAAAAGACAUUUGGAUAAACAUUUCAAAUGUCACAAGUCUUCAUCACUUAAGAAUCAAAAACUGAUUACUCCUACUUAGCCAAACAGGAAUCAAACCAAAUACCCCAUUGCAGAUUUUCUGGACAGCAUUCAGCAGUCAACGGUUUUGCUCAUAACUCACAAGAUAUUCAUCCAAAAAUCGUGAACUAAGACUUUCUAGAAAGCUUAAGAAGUCAUCUACAACUUUUGUAUUAUCAUCACAAUGAGACUUGACACUUAUAAUGGUCAAACAAUACUAAACGUAAAUUCUGUCCAGAUUUGGACAGAAUUCGACUACUUACUUCAAAAAUUCAUAACUGGAGUUUCAGGCAUCCAAAUCAGGUGAUCCUAGACUUUUUAUAAAGAUAAUAGAAUUGUCUACAAUUCAUUUAUAAUCAUCUCAAGGUGAUUCAAUGUGUAUCAAAGUCAGUUAAUUCAAACACACAUUGCUGUCCAGAUUUGGACAGAUUCAGAGAUCCUAACUCAAACAGUCGUAACUUAAUUUAUAGAUCACCAAAAAGGGUGAUCCAAAAUUUGUUGGAAAGCUUAAUCGAAGUACUACAAUUCUCCUAUAAUUACUAAGAGCUGAUUCUCAAUUUAACUUGGGCAAACAAGGUCAUUUUUGAAAUCUGUACAGAAUCUGUCCAGAUUCUGAAACUGGACUUGGAAAAAUCAUAACUCCUAAACUACUAAACCUAUGGUCAUGAAAUUUUUACACAAGUAAGAUAAAGAAUUUAUCUACAACUUUCAUAUACCACAUAUUCACUGAAAACAUGAUUUACUUCACUAAACUAGCUGCAUAACUAAAAUUGGUCAUGCAGUCUCAACAGCAAGAAUUUUAAGUUAACUCCUAAUUAACUUCUACAAUUCUCAUGUGCUAGGUACUUCAAAUAUUCUAAGACCUCAUCUUAAUGUAGAACUAAAACCACAUAAUACAAUAAAGCAUUCAUGUCACCAUACAGUAGGAAUUCGCUCAACCUCUAAUAGACCUUAUCGGCCAAGCGCUAUAAGUACUAAACUUAGAGUAUAAUGAUUUUUAGAGCCAAUCAUCGACUUCAUCAUUGGGGUUCUCAGAUUUAGCUGAAAUCAGCUUGUCAACACAAACCUGACUCAGUCCUAGUUAAGGCAUUAUGUCAAACACACGGUGAGCUCCACACUAAAGCCUUCUCCACAUGACAACCAGAGAUUUAUCUCUUCUAACCUCACACACAAAAACACACAUAACCAUAGCUAUUAAUUCGACUCGACAUCCACAAGAACUACAAUAUUCACCAGUUCACACAUUUAAUCGAGCACAAGGAAUGGAAGCCACGGCAAAAAUGGCGGGGGCUCACCGGACGAGGAGCAACGAGGCUGACAGAUCCGGCGAAGCGAGAUGCGAAGACGUCGGGACUGCACAGAUCGACAGCACAGGGUUGCAAAUAGAGUCGACGCAUGCGACGCGGAGGGAUCCGAGGCUUGCUGCUGCGUACAAGACCUCGACUUGGGUUGAGCUCGACGAGCAGCCACGGGACAUAGAGACGUUGGGACUGCCACUAUUCCCCGAGGUGGAGGUGUCGCGCUGAGAUUGGAGUCGGACCAGGGAGCGGCGCUGGUCACAAAAGGAGGAGAUCCAGUGAGGGGGCGCCUGCAGGGAGAAGUGGAGCGCUGGCUGCCAUGGAGGCUGGCGUUGAGGGAGUUCGGCCGGCGAGCUGGACACUCGGCACGGUGGGGAGCAGCGACAAAGGGAGCAAGGACGCGCGCUGGAAGGGGUGUCGAGCAGAGCUUGGGUACCAUGGACAGGAAAGGGCAGUUCCCGGGCAAGCACCAGGGUUGGCGGCGUCCAAGGAGAUGGGCUGGGCGCAGGGGCCAGGCUCGGCCACCAGGGAACAGGCGACAUCCUUGCUGCUAGUGUGGGGAGGUGAGGGGGAAGGGCAAAGGGCUGCUGGCGAGCUAGGCUGAGAGUCGAACAGCGGCGUUGAGGCAGACACUCGGAUGGCCAGCGCAGAGAAAUGUAGAGUAGCAGAGACGUGCAGAAGACUCGUAACUUUGAGAGCCCAGCGCGUGGAUAGGAGAUAAGAACAAAGGCUAGCGCUGGUGUCCACGUACGAUGUAGAAAAAAAAUAUCCAUUGCCUUCAACGGUGGUUGAGAGGAGGAUAAAAGAUAUUUUCUUUUUUUUUGUUACAAAAGAAUACAUACAUAUCCGUGUUUAGGGAUUUGGAUCUGAGCAAAAUGCAAACAGAUAGGAUCAAAAUGCUGUUAGGAUACGAUAUUAUUUUCUCGGAUUCUGGAAUAGGAAACUGAUUUGGCUAACUGUUGUUCUGGUUUCAUUUUAUUUAAACAGUCUGCCCUUAUUAGUGUCUACCGAAUUCGUAGAGACCGCUCGAAUAAGAGCGAAAUACUUAGGUGAUCUUUUUAAUUAACCUUAAUUGAUUAAUUUUAAACUGGCACUAGGCUCGACCUUGCUGAUAGCGGUUUAACACCGAACUCCGCAAUAUAUUUUGGACAGUUCAGAGAAAAAAUAAAGACAGAUGCGAUGUUGAAAAUUUGGAUAGGUGAAGAUGAUUAGGACAUAGAGGCCAUUAUUCUCACCGAUAAUUCUUGUUUAAAUCCAUACUCUCUGUGUUUGAUUUAAUUGAAACCAGAUAAAUCUCAUCUGCUAUCAACCCAAAUACUUGAUUAUCGACCUCGCGCAUGGUUUCUCUUGGACAACGGGCGGUACAGAUUAUUUUGCACCGAACAUUUUAGUCGUUGAAUUCUAAUAAAUUUAUUUGGGGCAAAAUUACAAGGCUGGGUUUUAGCCCGAUGUCGACGGAUCAAAUUAAACGAUAUUGGAUUCGAUAUUUUAAUAGACAUUCGAUUUAGUUGAACCUAAACGAAUUUCGUCGCUAACCGAACAUUUAGCUAGAGAGCAGCUCAAUUUAUAACUCUAUGCCUUGUUUUUCUUGGAUAUGGAGUGUGGUCGAAUUUAUAAAAUCAAACUCUUUCUGAAAUCAUAUUCACGUACUCGAUCGAUCUGAACAGCAUAGACUUAACGUCUUGAAAGAUUUUUUUUAAAGUCCAAAUUUCUCUAAAUUUUCUUUAAACGAUUUAGAUAGAUAGAGACAAAUACGAUAUUAAAAUCGUGAUAGACAAAGAUGACUAGAAUUCAGUGACCAUUUUAUUCACCGCUAUCACGUAUUAAAGUCCGCACUCAUGGUCGAGUAGAUGAUAAACACCUGGGGUGUUACAACCUUACCCCCUUAAAAGAAUCUCGUCCCGAGAUUCAGAACGAAAGACUUCUAAGAGUAGAGAAGCAUGUAACUCAUGUCCAUAUCAGCGAUAGCAUAAGGUAGUUCCAAGCAAGGGCGAGUGUCAAGAGGUUGUUUGAUUGUUUCAGCUAACAACACAAAAAUCAUUUCAAGGGAAAAGUCUACGAAAGAUAAUAUGUUAAUGUAGUUCCAUAAUGGAUCAUGACUAGAGACCUCGAUACCAGUAGGCGCCAAGCAGCAUAACCUUGCGUGUACAUUCACAAGGGGCUCUCAGUUUCGCUGCGGCACCAUAAGUCCUUAAUCAUGACACCAUCACCGAACUGACACCAAUAAUGAAUCUCACAUAGCGUAAAAAGAUUUUGCCCAGAUAACACAUUGAUAUAGCUUCCUAAUGGAUUACAACUACUAACCGUGAUACCAGCGCGUGCCGAGCAGCACAACCGUGUGUAUACCCACAGGAGGCCCUCGGUUUCGUCGCGGCACCGUCAGUUUUAGUCAUAACGCCAUUACCAAGCUCAACCAAUGAAAAACCUUAUGUGGCACACAUAGACCAAGCAAGGAUGACAAGAUACAAAAGAGACUCCACCUUUAAGAAGGAUAUAAGUAGAGAGCCAAGUAGAUCAUGGCCCGAUGAAAUGAACACGAUACGUCCGAAACCAAAAAUUUGUUGAUAAGGGAGUACGAUGGGAGACUGUUACUUUAGCCCCAAGCAUAUUUCUAUGUCCAUCGCAGAGAUUAUCAUGUCAAUAAUUAGUGUCCAAUAAGAUAUGGAAGGGAAACAAUCAUAAGAUUAAAUUGAUAAGCCUUCGAGAGAUAUGAAAAAAACUAAGGCAUUAAAUUCAACAAAAUGAUUGGGCACUGCUUUCCUAGGUUGGACUGAGAAAGCAACAAGAUGAUCCUGAUGGAGACGCAAACUGACAUAGAGAUAUCAGCUUGCACCAACCGAACAAAGGUAUGUUUUAGGAUGAAAAUAUGACCAUAAGAGCUACAAGUUGGCUGUUAAGAUCAGGGACUCGAGAUUGUUAUUAUUUUUUUAAGUUUGAGUGCAUCUUAGGUCCAAUAAGGGGAUUACCUAAACAUCUAUUUAUAUGACCUUGAUCACAAAGUAACGAUGGAAAAAUUCAGACUCGUCCACGUUUGGAAACUGGGGAAAAAUUUCAGGGAAUUAACAUCGAUUUGGGUCAUGGCUCCUAGAUGAGGACAUGGCCAAAUUUUUAGUUUACACAAACAUACCACCAACAUUCUACCGGCACAAACACACCAGAACAAACACAAGUUGGACUAGCGGUCAAACUAAGAAGAACCAUAGGCCACAUAAAUACAUGUCUAAAGGACCCAACAAACAAGACUAGAAAUUUGCUUAUAGGAUAGUAAUGCUUCACACAUUUUCCAAUUAUUUAUUAUCGGAAUAAAGAUGAGAAAAGCAUGUUAGUUCACAAUCACCUAUUAUUAGAAUAAAGGUGAGGGAAGCAUUUUUUUGUGCGCAAACAACAGACACAAUGCAACAAUCAGAAUGCAUGCUCGUCCUAUUCGGCCUCACCAGUUUUGCCAACAUAACGUGGCAAUAGCGUUCUAUAUCGGUGGCAUAACUACGUCUCUCUCGGUAUAUUGCUAGUCGUCAGCUACACAUACGAGUUCGAAGUUAGUGUACCUGCAGAAAAUUUCCAUCACAGCCCAAUUCCCAAUGAUGCAAUUCAUACAUGACAGUUUAUCACAAUUUAUACUCCAUAUAUUUCUAUAUGGAGGCCAGCUCCUCAUUAAGCGCCGAGCCACGCAUAGGCGCCGCUGCCACACUUUAACCAUAGGGCAGCUCAUUAUGGUAACUCACCUUUUUACUUGAGCGUAGGUGCGUCGUUGCAAGUACAUUACACUUCUCAGUAUUCCCAUGUCUGCAUACCCAUACACAUCCAUGGGGUACUGAAUCCCAGAAAAUUAAAUACUCCACAUCACAGCCUUCAUAUAUACAUAUGUAAAACAUGUAUAUAAUCAAGCGUUGUUUAUGCUCUCCCCUAGACCGACGUUUGUCCGGUCACGCUCUCACAUCUCACCUUACCUGAGCGUCGAUCCAUUCAAGACUGAAUGGCCUCAAAAACAACAUUACACAUGUAUGCAUCACCCUUCCCAGGUUGUGAGUUAGUAUUCUGAACUAAGCCACCUAGUAGUCCUUAACUUAGGGCUUAUAGAGGAUGUCGCUAGCAUUAUAGUUUUUCAAAUCUGUUUUUCAAAACCAAACAAUGUGUUUAGUUGAAAAUAGGUUUUCUAAAACCAAAACUUUUGUUUUGAAAAUACGUAUGUGACCGUAUAUACUUAACCCUGCUCCGAUACCAGCUGUCGCAGAACCUCCCAAGUUAUCGGGCCCACAUGCACCUGUCCUUGUCUCAAAGACCUCAGACGGCUAUGCAUGUGCACCAAACAACUUAACAGGAUCUGUCCGAGUGUCCCGAGGACCCCGGAUAAACGACUUACCGCCAAGAUCGCAGGAUUAAGUAAACACAAAUCACACACCAACAUUUGCAGCGGAAAUUCUUUAUUACAAAAUGGUUACAAGUUACAACAUUUACAAGUUAUAACAAGAUUACAAUAUAUAUCGUCGGAGUUGAUUACAAAAGAAAUUGAUUCAAAAAGAUUACAAUUUGAAUGUAUAAAACAUUUAUAAGUUUUAAAAUACAUGCUAGCUUAAGUGACAGUCCUCAAUAAAGAAGCUAAAGAUGGGAUAUACUUAUAUAAGAAGGCCGAGCCCACCAGCACUUAGCACCAUCCAAAACAGAACAAACUUAUAACCUGAAAAACAACAGGGAAUAAAACCCUGAGUACGCAAUUACUCAGCAAGACUUACCCGACUAAAGAAAAGACUCUCAAGGGUAUGCUGGAUUUAAAAGGAUUCAAGGUAAGGCUCAUCAAGUUUCAAGACUCAUUUUUGCAGAAAAGCUUACUAGUAGUGGAUCCUUAUGCAAAAAUUUUACUUCACAAAUUAAGUACUUUUCCUGAAUCUAGAUUUAUCUAAUCUAGAGCAUUCACUUGUCCUACACUAGCUUCAUUUUAGCAACUUUAGUUUCACUUGUUAUCUACGAUGAGGGUCGAAGAUCCAGUCUUCAUAUCCGAGAAGUUCGGCGAUCCGAAUCGAUUAAUACCCAGCUGGGGAUCUCCAACCACACGACAUAUGUAGCACUUAACCCUUGCAUAUGUCAACUCGCCACCGGGUUUCUCAAGACCAGAACGGGUCCCCGCCAACCGAGAGCUCAGUACCCCACCAUCCAGCCUCUUGCCAGGUGAAUACACGAUACUCUCGCCAUCUCUCCACUCCCAUUGCGGGCCGGCCUUUUUGGUAUUGGUCCAGCCGAGGCUAAGCUUACCCAUGAUGAGGCAUGUGGCCAGUUAAAGGGUCCUAGAUCAGCAGGCCAACAAUCGGAACGGUCCUUAAUCGACACAGACGGGCGACCUUUCCUGCUCAACGUCUGGUCUCAUCUUAAUAUUUAACACCCAAACCAUGUAACUGAUAGAGGUACAAUACUCGAAUAAUGAAUUCAUCAUCGCGAGUGAUGCCUUCAUUAUUGCAAGUUCCUUUUUCAUAAAACCCAUAUCCAGUGUUGCACAACAUUCUUUUUAAAAGAAACAACUUUUAGUUUCUAAGCAGGGCUAAGCCUCAUUAGUUCUCUUUAUAAAACAGGUAUCAAGGAAUAGUAAUCGAAUUCCAAGGAAUGGCAAUGCAUCAAUUGUUUCAUCACUCAACUCCUAUCACCUAAUGCAGCAUAUAAGUGAUAAAAGUUUUAAAACAACAAGGAGGUGGCAAAUGCACCGGGGCUUGCAUGGGAUAACACUAUGUUAGUGUUGUUAAUUGACGACCACUUAGUGAGCAUCUUCCAUCCUGGCACUUGGUUGAUUCAUCCAUUUUAGCUUCGUCCAUCAGCAUCACUUGGAGAUCACUUCCACUCGUCUUCCAUAGCACGUGAUCAAUUAACGUAC